AGGUCAGUAGCUCAAUUGGUAGAGCACCGGUCUCCAAAACCGGCGGUUGAAGGUUCGAGUCCUUCCUGGCCUG
This 73-nucleotide transfer RNA is filed under the name Gemmatimonadaceae bacterium. RNAcentral describes it as "tRNA-Trp". It matches the Rfam family "tRNA". Rfam says of the family: Transfer RNA (tRNA) molecules are approximately 80 nucleotides in length. Their secondary structure includes four short double-helical elements and three loops (D, anti-codon, and T loops). The record is from RNAcentral. RNAcentral also lists the same sequence under 2 other names. Lineage: Bacteria; Pseudomonadati; Gemmatimonadota; Gemmatimonadia; Gemmatimonadales; Gemmatimonadaceae.